RNAcentral lists this ribosomal RNA (535 nucleotides) under uncultured bacterium. RNAcentral describes it as "partial 16S ribosomal RNA". It matches the Rfam family "Bacterial small subunit ribosomal RNA", at positions 355 to 880 of the family's 1533-position model. The record is from RNAcentral.
UGGGGAAUAUUGCACAAUGGGCGCAAGCCUGAUGCAGCCAUGCCGCGUGUGUGAAGAAGGCCUCGGGUUGUAAAGCACUUUCAGCGAGGAGGAAGGUGGUGAGCUUAAUACGCUCAUCAAUUGACGUUACUCGCAGAAGAAGCACCGGCUAACUCCGUGCCAGCAGCCGCGGUAAUACGGAGGGUGCAAGCGUUAAUCGGAAUUACUGGGCGUAAAGCGCACGCAGGCGGUUUGUUAAGUCAGAUGUGAAAAUCCCCGGGCUCAACCUGGGAACUGCAUUUGAAACUGGCAAGCUAGAGUCUCGUAGAGGGGGUAGAAUUCCAGGUGUAGCGGUGAAAUGCGUAGAGAUCUGGAGGAAUACCGGUGGCGAAGGCGGCCCCCUGGACGAAGACUGACGCUCAGGUGCGAAAGCGUGGGGAGCAAAACAGGAUUAGAUACCCUGGUAGUCCACGCUGUAAACGAUGUCGAUUUUGGAGGUUGUGCCCUUGAGGCGUGGCUUCCGGAGCUAACGCGUUAAAGUCGACCGCCUGGGGGA